AUUGAACGCUGGCGGCAGGCCUAACACAUGCAAGUCGAACGAGAGGCGGACGGGUGAGUAAUGUCUGGGAAACUGCUCGAUGGAGGGGGAUAACUACUGGAAACGGUAGCUAAUACCGCAUACCAUCGGAUGUGCCCAGAUGGGAUUAGCUAGUAGGUGGGGUAAAGGCUCACCUGGGCGACGAUCCCUAGCUGGUCUGAGAGGAUGACCAGCCACACUGGAACUGAGACACGGUCCAGACUCCUACGGGAGGCAGCCGUGGGGAAUAUUGCACAAUGGGCGCAAGCCUGAUGCAGCCAUGCCGCGUGUAUGAAGAAGGCCUUCGGGUUGUAAAGUACUUUCAGCGAGGAGGCGUUACUCGCAGAAGAAGCACCGGCUAACUCCGUGCCAGCCGCCGCGGUAAUUC
Molecule: ribosomal RNA, 406 nt
Filed under: uncultured bacterium
Lineage: Bacteria
Description: partial 16S ribosomal RNA
Rfam family: Bacterial small subunit ribosomal RNA
Source: RNAcentral